GACGAACGCUGGCGGCGUGCUUAACACAUGCAAGUCGAACGGAAAGGCCCUGCUUUUGUGGGGUGCUCGAGUGGCGAACGGGUGAGUAACACGUGAGUAACCUGCCCUUGACUUUGGGAUAACUUCAGGAAACUGGGGCUAAUACCGGAUAGGAGCUCCUGCUGCAUGGUGGGGGUUGGAAAGUUUCGGCGGUUGGGGAUGGACUCGCGGCUUAUCAGCUUGUUGGUGGGGUAGUGGCUUACCAAGGCUUUGACGGGUAGCCGGCCUGAGAGGGUGACCGGCCACAUUGGGACUGAGAUACGGCCCAGACUCCUACGGGAGGCAGCAGUGGGGAAUAUUGCACAAUGGGCGGAAGCCUGAUGCAGCAACGCCGCGUGCGGGAUGACGGCCUUCGGGUUGUAAACCGCUUUCGCCUGUGACGAAGCGUGAGUGACGGUAAUGGGUAAAGAAGCACCGGCUAACUACGUGCCAGCAGCCGCGGUGAUACGUAGGGUGCGAGCGUUGUCCGGAUUUAUUGGGCGUAAAGGGCUCGUAGGUGGUUGAUCGCGUCGGAAGUGUAAUCUUGGGGCUUAACCCUGAGCGUGCUUUCGAUACGGGUUGACUUGAGGAAGGUAGGGGAGAAUGGAAUUCCUAGUGGAGCGGUGGAAUGCGCAGAUAUCAGGAGGAACACCAGUGGCGAAGGCGGUUCUCUGGGCCUUUCCUGACGCUGAGGAGCGAGAGCGUGGGGAGCGAACAGGCUUAGAUACCCUGGUAGUCCACGCUGUAAACGGUGGGUACUAGGUGUGGGGUCCAUUCCACGGGUUCCGUGCCGUAGCUAACGCUUUAAGUACCCCGCCUGGGGAGUACGGCCGCAAGGCUAAAACUCAAAAGAAUUGACGGGGCCCCGCACAAGCGGCGGAGCAUGCGGAUUAAUUCGAUGCAACGCGUAGAACCUUACCUGGGUUUGACAUGGAUCGGGAGUGCUCAGAGAUGGGUGUGCCUCUUUUGGGGUCGGUUCACAGGUGGUGCAUGGCUGUCGUCAGCUCGUGUCGUGAGAUGUUGGGUUAAGUCCCGCAACGAGCGCAACCCUUGUUCACUGUUGCCAGCACGUUAUGGUGGGGACUCAGUGGAGACCGCCGGGGUCAACUCGGAGGAAGGUGGGGAUGACGUCAAGUCAUCAUGCCCCUUAUGUCCAGGGCUUCACGCAUGCUACAAUGGCUGGUACAGAGAGUGGCGAGCCUGUGAGGGUGAGCGAAUCUCGGAAAGCCGGUCUCAGUUCGGAUUGGGGUCUGCAACUCGACCUCAUGAAGUCGGAGUCGCUAGUAAUCGCAGAUCAGCAACGCUGCGGUGAAUACGUUCCCGGGGCU
Molecule: ribosomal RNA, 1346 nt
Filed under: uncultured bacterium
Lineage: Bacteria
Description: partial 16S ribosomal RNA
Rfam family: Bacterial small subunit ribosomal RNA
Source: RNAcentral